CUCUCAAUAGCUCAGCUGGAAGAGCGCAAGACUGUAAAUCUUGAGGCCCGCGGUGUAAGUUACACAAUUGAGACCAUGCCACGACCUCGCCUAAUGUCCUCGCAGUCGAUCCCGCGUUGGGAGA
RNAcentral lists this transfer RNA (124 nucleotides) under Exutisphaerella laricina CBS 326.52. RNAcentral describes it as "tRNA-Tyr (GTA) (tRNA-Tyr-GTA-1-1)". It matches the Rfam family "tRNA". Rfam says of the family: Transfer RNA (tRNA) molecules are approximately 80 nucleotides in length. Their secondary structure includes four short double-helical elements and three loops (D, anti-codon, and T loops). The record is from RNAcentral. Lineage: Eukaryota; Fungi; Ascomycota; Dothideomycetes; Mycosphaerellales; Mycosphaerellaceae.